GGGGCGAGGUGGGGCGAAGGCGGGAGCUGUGUGGGGCCCGGCCCGCUCAGGGAGGGCCUGGCUCGCUGCGGCGGCGUCCCCAGGUGGGGCAGAGCGCGUCGAGGGCCCGCCGGCCCCGCAGAGCACUGAUGCAGAAAUAUCUUCCCAGUGUGGUCCCUCGUAUCACCAUUACUCUUUCACACUGUCAGCUUGGCAAGCCAUCAUCACCCAAGUGCUGACUUUGGCCAACAGUCCAUCUUUUUACUUUGGAUUUACGAAGCCACCAAUUUGGACUAGUUGAACAACAGCAGUAAUUUUUGAGAAAGGUUUCCUUCUGCUUCAGCUGACCUACUCAGACACCUAAGUGCUACCGAAGAUCAAAUGACACCAGGUUCAGCGUCUGCCAGCAUUGAGAUUUUGAGUCUGUAUUCCUCCUUGUUUAUUCAUUUGAAAGUCAAUUUUGCAAUAUUUCUGCCUUCUGUCCUGAAAAGGCUCAAUAAAUGUUCUUUGACCUUAGUUGGGUUAGACUGAUCUGCUACUUAUGCAUUCUAGUGAUAUUUUAAAAUAUUAACAGUCACCAGUUUAUAGAGAAUCUGUUGAAUUUACAAUUACAGACAUACUGGCUGCAAAAGUACUUCACCCAAGAGUUGCUGCUGCGGCCCAGGAGGACUUGAUGUUGGGGAGGGACCGGUAGGGCAUUACCACUGAUGUGCGCUCAGGGGAGAAAGGCUUCCAAAUUGUGCUAGACACCAAAACGUUGCUGGUGGAAGGCCCUCAGGAGAGAUGCCAAGGCAAGCAGUGCCCUUUCUUGUUUCGUUCCACCUCUUUUCCAAAUGGGCAUCUCUUCGAUGAGAUGGAUUGCCUGGCUCCCAGCCCUGUUGUGAUAGGGACUGGCAAACUGCUGUGCACCUGUUCCGGAGGGAUUAGCCACCAGUGACAGCCCAUACCCAGAAUUUCCUCCACAGAUGCUAGUACCCUUCAACAAGUGAGUCAGAACCAUUUGACUUAGAGCUUUUUAUAGUUGUUGUUGAGGGUAAUGAUAAUCAUCCUCAUAAAGUCUAGUUCUUAAUCUCAUACUUAAUGGUUUGCCAUUGGUCGAAGGAGAAGAUACCAUGCUGUUCUUCACUCCCAUCCCUAUCUGCUUUACUGGCACAGCAAAACAGUGUUAAGCUUCUACAAUCAUCUGUCAUUAUGUUGGAAAGCGAGCGUUGUCUGGUGGAUAAGAUGCCAGGCUGAGUCCAGAAUUGACUCUGCUAAUGAAUUCACCAUUGGUAAAUCUAAGACUAUAUUACUUCCUCUGCUAUUUUGAUUUUCUUAUCCAUAAAUACAUUCAUUUGAGAAUUCAAUAAACAGCUUAUGCCGAAAAUCAAGCAUGACAGGAUUGGUUAGCAGAACUGGGCUUUAUGUUAAUUUUUCUAGUCCAAAGAAUUAAAUAUUGUCUGUAUUGUAUUCAGGUAUGUUGAUUAUUACUGUAUUCAUAUAUAAUUGAUUAUAAAAAUAAUAUGCACUGGUUUUUUUCUUUUUUGUCCACUACUUACAGGCCUUUGUCAUUCUAGUAGAAAACAGAUUUUGAUAUAAAUGAUUUAUUUUAUUACUUUUGAAAAUUGUGUCCAUAUAGCUGAGGGAAUAAACAUCCUAAAUUUGAUUCCACCCAAGCUGUUGUUUGGGGCUUUUUUCCUCUUUUCUUCUUCCUUUCUACCAAUACAUAAAAAGAAUCGGGCACUUCCUGCUAUGCCCUAAGCACAAAUUUAGUUCCUGCUAUAUCCACUCUAACGUAUUCAGGAAGGAAGGAAUACUCUCUCUGAGGCUGUAGUGCUUUUACAGUGGCUGCAGUAGCUGUAGCUCAGACUGUCUGGAAGUGAAAAAUAUGGGAGGAAUUGUGAAAUGUUUGAUCUUUGGGAGUAACAAGGAAA
This is a long non-coding RNA of Grus americana (Whooping crane), 1892 nucleotides long. RefSeq lists it as uncharacterized. NCBI's taxonomy places the organism in Eukaryota, Metazoa, Chordata, Aves, Gruiformes, Gruidae. The record is from RefSeq and is a predicted model, not a curated record. The transcript has 3 exons.